AUGGGCCCGAUGUCCCUACCCCCAAACAGACGUUUGAAUUUUUCUGGUAGUUCGCAAACAGUUAGUUCUACCCCAUUUUUAGAAAAUAAUCGUCACGACGACACGUUAUCUGGCAUUUUAGAAGAAUCAGAAAUUACCGCCAUGAAUUCUCCAGUCACUAAUGUGAACACGUCAGAUACCGCGUAUGUCGAAAUACAUAUCCCAGAAUACACCAUCCCUCAAACUCAACCAAACCCCACAUCGUCUGCCACAGGACCCAUCCCGUCAAUUUUACCGAAUAACCCAGCUGUUCGUAAUUUUAAAUCGCCAAAAAUCCCCCUCCCUACUUUUUCCGGGAGCGCAAGCGAAAAUGUACAAGAUUAUUUCUUAGCACUUGAAUCUGCAAUUUUAGUUAACCAAUUUGACCCUGAUUUAGUUCCUUUUUUUCUCGAAUCUCACCUUAAAGGAGAAGCGCUGUCCUACCUGAAAUUUUUACGAAAAUCGGAUCCUAACUUAAAUUUUCAAACUCUUAAGAAUAAAUUUUUGGAACAAUUUUCACUUAAAAAUCCCAUCUCUUUCUAUCAAUCUCAGCUCGAUACUUUAACUAUGAAUGAUUCAUCAAUAACAGAUUAUCUAUUCAAAGUAAAAUUACUCUGUAAAAAUCUCAAUCUUACUCCAGAUUUUACAAUUUUUCAUAUUUUAAAAGGCCUCCCUAUUCAUGUUAAAUCUAUAAUUACUUUGUUUCCGCACGAUACUCUAGAAGAGUUAGAGGAUUCGAUUCGUAAAUUUUCUAAGAGACAUGCCGAGCUUCAGACCCCCAUUGCCCCAGCCUCCAACCCACCAUCUGAGGAUAAAUUGACAGAGCUGAUUCAAAUGGUUCAAAAACAAUCAAAACAGAUUGAGAAACUUAAAUCCAAACGAAAUUUUCGCCCCUCAGGUCAAAAUCCCCAGCCUCCCAAAAUUUCGCAAACGAAACCGGAACAUCUCCCCGUUGUAAUGUUUGCGCGGAUCUUCAUCCCACUGAUUCGUGUAACGUUCGUUUUUGCCGGUAUUGUAAGAAUACUGAUCACACAUACAAUUUUGUCCUGA
This 1068-nucleotide long non-coding RNA is filed under the name Bemisia tabaci. Its description in RNAcentral is "lncRNA ENSSSA2NGG007617". The record is from RNAcentral. Lineage: Eukaryota; Metazoa; Arthropoda; Insecta; Hemiptera; Aleyrodidae.